GACGAACCGUGCGAACGUUGUUCGGAUUCACUGGGCUUAAAGGGCGCGUAGGCGGCUUGUCAAGUCAGGGGUGAAAUCUUUCGGCUCAACCGGAAAAGUGCUUCUGAUACUGGCGGGCUGGAGGAGGGUAGGGGCGGGCGGAACUUCCGGUGGAGCGGUGAAAUGCGUAGAUAUCGGAAGGAACGCCGGUGGCGAAAGCGGCCCGCUGGACCCUUUCUGACGCUGAUGCGCGAAAGCCAGGGGAGCAAACGGG
RNAcentral lists this ribosomal RNA (253 nucleotides) under uncultured bacterium. RNAcentral describes it as "partial 16S ribosomal RNA". It matches the Rfam family "Bacterial small subunit ribosomal RNA", at positions 524 to 776 of the family's 1533-position model. The record is from RNAcentral.